This is a non-coding RNA of Hordeum vulgare subsp. vulgare (domesticated barley), 125 nucleotides long. Lineage: Eukaryota; Viridiplantae; Streptophyta; Magnoliopsida; Poales; Poaceae. The record is from Rfam.
CUUGUAGUCCCUCCGUCCGAAAAUACUUUUCAUAGGAAUGAAUGUAUCUAGAUAUAUUUUAGUUCUAGAUACAUCCAUUUUCAUUUAUUUGUACGACAAGUAUUUCUGGAUAGAGGGAGUAUAUU